UAUUGCUCCGAUUUACAUGUGUAGAAAUUUUUCUAAAAGGAAAUCGGACUGGGGUGAUACUUUAAGGACGUCAUUUUUUUAUUUAUCCAGGAGUAUUUCCAAUAAAUAGGAAACAUCGGGAAAAAACAUGAGAAAACGGGAAAAUAAGUACAAUAUUAAACAAAUAUUAUUAAAGAAAAUGUAUAAUGUCUAUGUGAUUAAUUUACCAUAAUAUGAUAUAUUAUCUAUUGUUAACAAAGCAACACUAUCAACUGAACUCCGCUCAGAAUCGUUUUUUCGUUAGCAAUGGUUUAUCGUUGCUUACAGAUACACAUCCAAUUUCCACUUUACUGCCUUUCCAACUUCACACCUACAACAGCAGCCUACCCACGUGCAAAGUAGGCCCGUCUUUUUUUUUUUCUUACUAAGGUAAUCCAUUAAAGUAAAUAAAUAAUUUAAUAAUAUCUAAAAUUAAAAUUCGUAGGAUAUGUUUCAAUUUGUGGGGGAGGGGAAUUUCAACAUCUAUAAACCUUUUCCGGAUAACGCGGAUCAACCGUGUAAAAAUUGGUCCAGUAGUUUCGGAGCAAACCCGUAACAAUGAUUUCCAUUUUCCAUUUAUACGCGUACAUAUACAUAGAUAUUG
Molecule: non-coding RNA, 622 nt
Organism: Cinara cedri
Lineage: Eukaryota; Metazoa; Arthropoda; Insecta; Hemiptera; Aphididae
Source: the annotation of a GenBank genome assembly